CCUACGGGGGGCAGCAGUGGGGAAUAUUGGACAAUGGGGGCAACCCUGAUCCAGCCAUGCCGCGUGUGUGAAGAAGGCCCUCGGGUUGUAAAGCACUUUCAGUGAGGAAGAACGCCUGGUGGUUAAUACCCAUCAGGAAAGACAUCACUCACAGAAGAAGCACCGGCUAACUCCGUGCCAGCAGCCGCGGUAAUACGGAGGGUGCGAGCGUUAAUCGGAAUUACUGGGCGUAAAGCGCGCGUAGGUGGCUUGAUAAGCCGGUUGUGAAAGCCCCGGGCUCAACCUGGGAACGGCAUCCGGAACUGUCAAGCUAGAGUGCAGGAGAGGAAGGUAGAAUUCCCGGUGUAGCGGUGAAAUGCGUAGAGAUCGGCAGGAAUACCAGUGGCGAAGGCGGCCUUCUGGACUGACACUGACACUGAGGUGCGAAAGCGUGGGUAGCAAACAGGAUUAGAUACCCCGGUAGUC
This 465-nucleotide ribosomal RNA is filed under the name Vreelandella stevensii. Its description in RNAcentral is "partial 16S ribosomal RNA". It matches the Rfam family "Bacterial small subunit ribosomal RNA", at positions 338 to 795 of the family's 1533-position model. The record is from RNAcentral. Lineage: Bacteria; Pseudomonadati; Pseudomonadota; Gammaproteobacteria; Oceanospirillales; Halomonadaceae.